AUAUUUCAAUGAUGAGUUAUUAGUUAUCCCUGUCUUACAAAAAUGUGGUGAGAACACUAUGCUGAAAAUUAG
This 72-nucleotide small nucleolar RNA is filed under the name Trichomalopsis sarcophagae. RNAcentral's name for it is "Small nucleolar RNA R38". It matches the Rfam family "Small nucleolar RNA R38". Rfam says of the family: snoR38 is a C/D box small nucleolar RNA conserved across yeast, human, Arabidopsis and rice. It is encoded in the intron of elongation factor-1 gamma in both pombe and cerevisiae. snoR38 guides the methylation of 2'-O-ribose sites in 28S rRNA. The record is from Rfam by way of RNAcentral. Lineage: Eukaryota; Metazoa; Arthropoda; Insecta; Hymenoptera; Pteromalidae.